GGGUAGCUCAGUGGUAGAGCAGCGCCUUCAUAAGGCGUGGGUCGUGGGUUCGCCCUGCACCAGAGCGAAGCACGAUGCAGGGCGCCCCGUACCGUGCCCCGCGAAUGCGGGACUCUGGUACUGGGGCGAAUCCCUAUCCUAAUUAUCCUCCA
This 152-nucleotide transfer RNA is filed under the name bacterium. RNAcentral's name for it is "tRNA-Met". The stretch from base 2 to 62 matches the Rfam family "tRNA". The record is from RNAcentral.